CGCUGGCGGCGUGCCUAAUACAUGCAAGUCGAGCGAACUGAUUAGAAGCUUGCUUCUAUGACGUUAGCGGCGGACGGGUGAGUAACACGUGGGCAACCUGCCUGUAAGACUGGGAUAACUUCGGGAAACCGAAGCUAAUACCGGAUAGGAUCUUCUCCUUCAUGGGAGAUGAUUGAAAGAUGGUUUCGGCUAUCACUUACAAAUGGGCCCGCGGUGCAUUAACUAUUUGGUGAAGUUAACGUUCACCAAGG
RNAcentral lists this ribosomal RNA (251 nucleotides) under Priestia megaterium. RNAcentral's name for it is "Bacillus megaterium partial 16S ribosomal RNA". It matches the Rfam family "Bacterial small subunit ribosomal RNA", at positions 34 to 273 of the family's 1533-position model. The record is from RNAcentral. Lineage: Bacteria; Bacillati; Bacillota; Bacilli; Caryophanales; Bacillaceae.